UACAGAGGGGGCAAGCGUUGUUCGGAAUUACUGGGCGUAAAGGGCGCGUAGGCGGCCUGUUAAGUCGAACGUGAAAUCCCCGGGCUCAACCCGGGAACUGCGCUUGUAACUGAGAGGCUUGAGUGUGCCAGAGGGGGGUGGAAUUCCACGUGUAGCAGUGAAAUGCGUAGAGAUGUGGAGGAACACCGAUGGCGAAGGCAGCCCCCUGGACCAAUACUGACGCUGAGGAGCGAAAGCCAGGGGAGCAAACGGG
Molecule: ribosomal RNA, 253 nt
Filed under: uncultured bacterium
Lineage: Bacteria
Description: partial 16S ribosomal RNA
Rfam family: Bacterial small subunit ribosomal RNA
Source: RNAcentral